RNAcentral lists this long non-coding RNA (438 nucleotides) under Mytilus galloprovincialis (Mediterranean mussel). Lineage: Eukaryota; Metazoa; Mollusca; Bivalvia; Mytilida; Mytilidae. The record is from RNAcentral.
UCCAUACACAAAAUAUAGAAGACCUACAGUAUCUGAUAUAUGGACUUGACCACCAAAACUUUACAUUGUUCACUGAUCCAUGAAAUGAGGUCAAGGUCAAAUGAAAACUGUCUGAUGGGCAUGAAGACCUUGCAAAAUAUGCACAUACUAAAUAUAGGUAUCCUAUUACUCAUACAAAGAGAGAUUAACAUUUCAAAAAAAUCUUUAACUUUUUUUCAAGUAGUCACUCAGCCAUGAAAAUGAGGCCAAGUACAAUGAAUAUAUGACAUAAGGCAUAUAUGUAAAAAGCAUGAAGCAUCUAGGUCUUCCACCUUCUAAAAUAUUAAGCUUUAAAGAAGUUAGCUAAUGCUAACACCGCCAGAUCACUAUCCCUAAAAAUGGUUGUGUUUGUCAGAAUUUUUGUUCAAAGUUUCCUGUUUGAAAGUUGGGUAUCUAGAC